AUUGAACGCUGGCGGCAUGCUUUACACAUGCAAGUCGGACGGCAGCACAGAGAAGCUUGCUUCUUGGGUGGCGAGUGGCGAACGGGUGAGUAACAUAUCGGAACGUACCGAGCAGUGGGGGAUAACUAAUCGAAAGAUUAGCUAAUACCGCAUAUAUUCUGAGGAAGAAAGCAGGGGACCAUUUGGCCUUGCGCUGUUUGAGCGGCCGAUAUCUGAUUAGCUAGUUGUGGGGUAAAGGCCUACCAAGGCGACGAUCAGUAGCGGGUCUGAGAGGAUGAUCCGCCACACUGGGACUGAGACACGGCCCAGACUCCUACGGGAGGCAGCAGUGGGGAAUUUUGGACAAUGGGCGCAAGCCUGAUCCAGCCAUGCCGCGUGUCUGAAGAAGGCCUUCGGGUUGUAAAGGACUUUUGUCAGGAAAGAAAAAGGCGGGGUUAAUACCCCUGUCUGAUGACGUACCUGAAGAAUAAGC
Molecule: ribosomal RNA, 472 nt
Filed under: Neisseria mucosa
Lineage: Bacteria; Pseudomonadati; Pseudomonadota; Betaproteobacteria; Neisseriales; Neisseriaceae
Description: bacterial SSU rRNA
Rfam family: Bacterial small subunit ribosomal RNA
Source: RNAcentral